Molecule: ribosomal RNA, 463 nt
Filed under: uncultured Desulfotomaculum sp.
Lineage: Bacteria; Bacillati; Bacillota; Clostridia; Eubacteriales; Desulfotomaculaceae
Description: bacterial SSU rRNA
Rfam family: Bacterial small subunit ribosomal RNA
Source: RNAcentral
GCACAAGCGGUGGAGCAUGUGGUUUAAUUCGACGCAACGCGAAGAACCUUACCAGGGCUUGACAUCCCCUGACCGUCUAUGAAAGUAGGCUUUCUACCUUCGGGUAGACAGGGAGACAGGUGGUGCAUGGUUGUCGUCAGCUCGUGUCGUGAGAUGUUGGGUUAAGUCCCGCAACGAGCGCAACCCUUACGGUUAGUUGCCAGCGGGUUAUGCCGGGCACUCUAGCUGAACUGCCGUUGACAAAACGGAGGAAGGUGGGAUGACGUCAAAUCAUCAUGCCCUUUAUGUCCUGGGCUACACACGUGCUACAAUGGCCUGUACAGAGGGAAGCGAAAGGGUGACCUGGAGCGAAUCCCAAAAAGCAGGUCUCAGUUCGGAUUGCAGGCUGCAACCCGCCUGCAUGAAGUCGGAAUCGCUAGUAAUCGCAGGUCAGCAUACUGUGGUGAAUACGUUCCCGGGCCUU